RNAcentral lists this ribosomal RNA (435 nucleotides) under uncultured bacterium. RNAcentral describes it as "partial 16S ribosomal RNA". It matches the Rfam family "Bacterial small subunit ribosomal RNA", at positions 29 to 507 of the family's 1533-position model. The record is from RNAcentral.
AACGAACGCUGGCGGCAGGCCUAACACAUGCAAGUCGAGCGGACAUCUUCGGAUGUUAGCGGCGGACGGGUGAGUAACGCGUGGGAACGUGCCCUUUGCUUCGGAAUAGCCUCGGGAAACUGGGAGUAAUACCGGAUGUACCCUUUGGGGGAAAGAUUUAUCGGCAAAGGAUCGGCCCGCGUUGGAUUAGGUAGUUGGUGGGGUAAUGGCCUACCAAGCCGACGAUCCAUAGCUGGUUUGAGAGGAUGAUCAGCCACACUGGGACUGAGACACGGCCCAGACUCCUACGGGAGGCAGCAGUGGGGAAUCUUAGACAAUGGGGGAAACCCUGAUAUAGCCAUGCCGCGUGAGCGAUGAAGGCCUUAGGGUUGUAAAGCUCUUUCACCGGGGAAGAUAAUGACGGUACCCGGAGAAGAAGCCCCGGCUAACUCCGUG